CAGGAGACGGAAGAUGAAAGUCAAGAUCUUGCGUAUCCUUUCUCACUCUUUUGUUAUGUUCAUCUGUCUCAGUUAUACUAUCUUUUUUCUUUUGUUUUACCUUCUGGUUUUAAGUCUUUUGCAUUAUAUCAUAGUAGAAUGACUCUCUGCUUGAUAGUAUUGGAUUAGUAUGAAUUGGGUUUAUCAAGAAUUACUGUAGUUGAUUGGCUUGAAAGUUGUACUUCCUAAGUUGUUGGGUUAGAAAACCCAGAAAACCCUGUAUGUUCUUGAUGGCAUUCAAGAUCUGAGCUUGAAAUGGAAUUUGUUAGCCUUACAUGUUAGACACCAUGUAUCUGUGUUUUGUUGGGUUUGAGUAUUCUGGUAAUAUUAUGAAAGGCCUAUGCUCUAGUAUAAUCAAGACUGGAACUUGCAAUACUUGCUCUAGUAUAUUAUUCAUGAGUCUCUAGCAUAGAUACUUGUAUAAAUUUAUUUUGUUUGAGUAGUGUGAUAAUAACAUGGAAAUGCUUGUAUGCUUUAGUUUACAUGUUGGCUAGUUAUCUAGCCUAAACAUGAUAUAUCUUUCUUAUCUUUCUUGUAAUUUGUGAAAUGUCAAUGCUGCAAGCAUUUUAAAGAAAGGGUUUUUUCUUGACCUGCCCUCCUCUUUGUGACUUUCUGCUGGGAUUUCAAACAGAGUGGCAUGCUGUUGCUGCAUGGACAUGGGAUGCACAGGACGAAACAUGUGGCAUUUGUAGGAUGGCAUUUGAUGGUUGUUGUCCUGACUGUAAGCUCCCUGGGGAUGAUUGCCCACUAAGUAAGUCACAAACAUUAUAUUCUAUCAUUUCUUUUAGUUCAUCAGAUAAGUUCAUAUAGGAGUUCAGACUUCGCUUUUGAGAAGUGGCUUGAAUUUUUCUGUAUCCACAUAUGGUCGUGCCUUUUUUUCAAGUGUAAUUGAUAUGAUUACUGUGGUACUUGCAAUGAUCUGUGCUAGAAUUGCUGGUUGUGUUAUGGUACAAUUUAUACAAUUGAUUAUUAACUUACAAGCAUCAAGAUUUGGGUUUUCUUUCUUUUGUCCUACUAAAUACGUAAAAUAGGAUUCAGAUACCUGACAUAGUCUAUGCUGAUGUGUAUCAAAAUCAGCUACCAUGAUAUGUUUCCAAACAAACUGUGAUAUCCAAUUUUGUGUUUUUCUUUUUGGGGACUAGAAUAGUAUAUUUAUGAUCAUGAAGGCCAACCAAAUUGCUUAUUAGUUAUUACUCUUUUCAUGGCCUAAACUAUUAUUCUCUGUUGAACCUGAACAUUGAGGCAUUAAUGGAUUCUAGUUUUAAGAUUCAGUAGCAACUUCUAGUUUGGAUUCUACUGGACAAAGGCCAGUAGCUCGCUUGAUGCAAUUAUACUGUAGUCUCUAAACUAUAGUCUGACAUAGGACAAAGAAAGUGAGAAACAGAGUGAGGUUUAGGGUCAGAGAAGAAAGAAAGUUAGAAACUUGAAAAAGAAAA
Fragaria vesca subsp. vesca is the source of this 1475-nucleotide RNA transcript. It is a transcript of the gene named anaphase-promoting complex subunit 11-like, with no coding region annotated. The transcript has 2 exons. The record is from RefSeq and is a predicted model, not a curated record. NCBI's taxonomy places the organism in Eukaryota, Viridiplantae, Streptophyta, Magnoliopsida, Rosales, Rosaceae.